AUUUGAAACAAAAAAGAAAAACUUUCAAGGCUUUGACAAAAUUUGAUAACUUGACGAAAACAGAAGUGUAGGGGUCGAAAAAAACGAAAAAAAUUGACUCGGAUUAACAAACAAAUUUUUAGUUGCUCUAAGAAUUUGUUAAAUUACUUUUAUUUUAUCAGGAUUUUGUUAAUAUAAUUAACAAUUGUAAACGUAGACUGCCAAGUUAAUGAUAGCAUAACGAGACGAGCGACGAAAUAUCUUGCAAUGAUGUAGAAUAAUGAGAAGUGGUUACGAGUGGUGUAGUGCCGGAUUUUUGUUUAUAUCAUAACAAAAAAAAAAAAAUACGACCCGCAGUUCUAAAGUUUAAACAAGGUGCCGGGGAGUGCGCAUGCCUCGUAAAUCACGCGGUGAGCUAGUGAUGCGCACGCAGCUGAUUUCGGCACUCGUAUCUCACGUAACUUACGCACGCCUCGUGUAUUCGUGUGGGUUUUAAUGGGCGCCGGAGCAGGCACGUCGCGUUCGUCGCGUUAAGUAUUCUCAAUCAAUUCGCUAUUGGCAGCUAGCGAUCCGGUGAUCUGGUGACUGGCCGUCAACCAAUCAUGAUCAAACUGAAUCCUCUAUCAAAAUACGUUUGUGAAUUGCACAGCGUUGAUUGACACGUCGUAUGUGUAUAGUAUCAUAUGCAGUGCUGUUACGACCUUUGGCACGACGUCAGGUGCGAGUAUGUGAUACGUUAUACGACGCACACACAUUCGUGCGAGACACGUACGCACAUGUCGAGUUUCGAUAGAUGAAAUCGGUCAAAUUUGCGGAACAGAUGAUGAAAUUUACGAAGUUGGAAUACGACGACACAAUAUCUACUCAUAAGGAAACUCUCCUUGUCGCAUGCCGUACUACAGUUCUACGAUAUAUCCCCCCGUUUCACAAAAUGUAUUCCGUAACGGAAGGAACAGCUUCUCGAAGGGUCAGGGUGAGCUGUUUAUCAACUAAAAAUGGGACCUCACAGCUGUAAAGAUUGCUUACACGCUAGGAUUAUGGCGUCCAAUGGAUACCCUACCGCUGGUUCAGCUGCAAAGCCCCUGGUACACCACUCACCACCCUGUGAGUCAGUGAAUUCAAUGCCGUGGUUUGGGAUGGAUAUUGGUGGAACCUUGUCUAAAUUAGUGUACUUUGAACCUAAGGAUAGAACCAGGGAUGAAGCUGAUGCUGAAGUAGAAACCUUGAAAAAUAUUCGACGAUAUCUUGUUAAAAAUUCAUCUUAUGGAAAAACUGGCCAUCGAGAUACCCACUUGCAGAUGGAUAAUGUCAGCAUAAGGGGUAGACGGGGUACUUUACAUUUUAUAAGAUUUCCCACUAGUGAAAUGGGAAACUUUCUAGCACUAGCCAAAUCAAAAGGAAUGGCUAAUCUGGUUACGACAGUCUGUGCUACUGGCGGAGGUGCUUUCAAAUUUGAAGAAAAUUUUAAACGGGAAGUUAAUAUGAGUUUAGCCAAGUUUGAUGAGCUAGAUAGUUUGAUAAGGGGUAUGUUGUACAUCGAAACAACAAAUCCCCAUGAAUGUUACUACUGGUUACAUCCGACAUGUGACAUUAGGUGUCGAAAAGUACCUUUCGACUUUUCUGAACCUUAUCCAUUUUUGGUUGUUAACGUUGGAUCUGGUGUGAGUGUAUUAGCAGUUUAUGGUCCCAAUAGUUAUAAAAGGAUAUCAGGAACAAGCUUAGGUGGUGGCACGUUUUUGGGUCUGUGCUGUUUACUCACUGGAUGUAACACGUUUGAAGAGGCUAUCGAUCUUGCAACUGGAGGAGAUAACACGAGAGUAGACAAAUUAAUUAAAGACAUCUAUGGUGGAGAUUACGACCGUUUUGGACUCCCGGGAGAUUUAGUUGCCAGCAGACUGUAUGUCAAGUUUUCUCGGUGUGUACAGUUUCGGGCAGAUGAAUUCCAAGGAACGACGAAAUGCUGUCUCCAAAGAAGAUCUUGCGCGCGCCACGCUUGUAACAAUUACCAACAACAUCGGCUCGAUCGCCCGCAUGUGUGCUGUCAAUGAAAAAAUUGAUAGGGUUGUAUUUGUUGGUAAUUUUUUGAGGGUAAACCCAAUCUCGAUGAAACUGUUAGCAUCUGCUAUGGAUUAUUGGUCAAAGGAUACCAUGAAGGCAUUGUUUUUAGAACAUGAGGGAUACUUCGGAGCAGUUGGUUGUUUA
Molecule: unclassified non-coding RNA, 2181 nt
Filed under: Neodiprion lecontei (redheaded pine sawfly)
Lineage: Eukaryota; Metazoa; Arthropoda; Insecta; Hymenoptera; Diprionidae
Description: pantothenate kinase 3, transcript variant X2
Source: RNAcentral